UACUAAACACUAUCUCAACUUCUAAAUACUGAAUCAUAAAAUCAUAAUCCAAAUAUAAACUAUAAUUAGGUGACUGAAUGACAGUAAAAUAAAUAGACAAAAUAUAAGACUUUUCAAUAAAGAAUACAUUCUGUAUUAACCCAAUACACAACUUUUAAAUACUAAACUCAAACCAAACUUUAAAAUAUUAAACUCAAAUAUAAAUCUUAAUUAUCAACCCUAAAUCCAAUUAUCAAAAUAUGAAAAUAGUAUAAUAUUAAACUAAAUCGAGGCCUAACUUUUGAAUAGUAUAGGGCUCUAACCCAAAACACAACUUCUAAAUCCUAAUCAAAUACCUAACUUUUGAAUACUAAACCUUAAACUGCUAUCACUAAACCCAAACCUCAACUUCUAUUUUUCAAAUACUAAACCCUAAAUCCUAAUCACUAAACCCUAAACCCAAAUGUAAACUUUAAAACUCAAAUAGAAUGGAACAAAAUACAUAGUAUAGUACAUAUUGGUGAACAAAAUAGAACACUCUUUAUUAAUCGUCAAAUGGAAUGAUAAGGAUAGGUCACUAAACUCAAACCUCAACCCUACCUUCCAAAUACUAAAUCCUAAAUCUUAAUCGUUAAACCCU
RNAcentral lists this long non-coding RNA (619 nucleotides) under Brassica napus (rape). Its description in RNAcentral is "long non-coding RNA (BNAP_LNC016359)". Lineage: Eukaryota; Viridiplantae; Streptophyta; Magnoliopsida; Brassicales; Brassicaceae. The record is from RNAcentral.